CACACACACACACACACACACACACACACACAAGCAGGCAUUUUAUUCAGCCCAUGAGAGAGUGGCUUCAACAAUACUUGUUAACCUGUCACAUUUAUGCAGUCCUGUGAAGAAUCAGACUAGAGAAAAAGAGAA
Sapajus apella (tufted capuchin) is the source of this 135-nucleotide long non-coding RNA. RefSeq lists it as uncharacterized. NCBI's taxonomy places the organism in Eukaryota, Metazoa, Chordata, Mammalia, Primates, Cebidae. The record is from RefSeq and is a predicted model, not a curated record. The transcript has 2 exons.